UGUUUGCUAAAUUAAGAUUUUAUUUUGGGGAAAUGAAACAAAGGUGAAUGAAUGACUUUACCUUGACUUUAAGAUGUAAGAUAUAGCAGGUUGAACUCUCUCAGUGCCUGAAUCAAGUGUAUGAAGUAAUGAUGUUAACACCACUUUAACUAUUGAAGUGACGCUAUGUGGGCCAUUGAGUUUAUACAUGCAUAGGACUAAUUUAUAAAAUCGUUCAACAGAGUAAUUAGAUAUUACAUCCUUGUCUAAGUAGAAAGCAAUCUUAGAUUCUACAAAAGCCAUAUUUGUAAUGUUAUGUGAGUCCAUAGAACCCUGAGAUUUUCUUACCCUGACCCAUUUUCAGACGCGUCUCACUUAAUCAACCUUAGACAGCAGAGGGGAGCAUCUCUAAUGAUCAACCUGGAUGUGUUUAGAGGUUAUUUUCUGUAGUGCUGGAAAAGCACACUGUUUAAAAGCACACUGCUAAAAUUAGGUGAUAUGAAGUCAUUUACUUUUUUAAUGUGUUUGUGUGUGUCAGUGUCAUCGAUAAUGAAGAUUAUAAUCUCAAGAUUAGGAAUCUUCAAAGAGCCACUUAUCUUGAAUAGGAAACAUAAAACUAUCUGUAAAUACAUCCCUCUAAGGAUGACAGUGAAGGAGCCAAAGCCAUUGAGUAGUCCUCCCAUUAGACUUGAUAGCAAUGAAGCAGAUAAGAAAACAUAAAAGAUCUCCUAUGGAUGAUUUUUAUAGAUUCAUGGACACAAGUGUAUCUUUGUAUAACAUGUAGAUAAAAAACACAUCUGUUGCCAAAGUGACCAAUAAAAUGCUUCCUGUGUUUUCUGGCCUUCACUUAGCUGUGUGACCAAGGUCCAGAAAAUGGCCUACAAAAAUUACUCUAUCACCCCAAAUCCACUAUG
Molecule: long non-coding RNA, 893 nt
Filed under: Bos taurus (domestic cattle)
Lineage: Eukaryota; Metazoa; Chordata; Mammalia; Artiodactyla; Bovidae
Description: long non-coding RNA NONBTAT025435
Source: RNAcentral